AGUGCAAGUGCUAGGUUAUAUGGUAAAUGUGUGUUUAACUUUAGGAGGGGCUGCCAAAUUAUUUUCUAUAGUGACUGUGCCAUUUUAUAUGCUUGUCAGCAGU
This 103-nucleotide microRNA precursor is filed under the name Marmota monax (woodchuck). The record is from RNAcentral. Lineage: Eukaryota; Metazoa; Chordata; Mammalia; Rodentia; Sciuridae.